UUUGGGCACCUAGUCUUGAUUCCAAACCUUUUGCAAAACGGUAACCAAUACCUUGCAAACUUGCAAGCUUCUCUCAUUCCAAGCAAAGUUAUAGCAGCACCUCCAUCAUCUGAUAAAUACACAUGAAGCUUUUGUGCUGGAUAAUCGAGUGCCAUAGCCGAUAAAACAGUGUUCAUUACAUCCACAAUUGGCUCUUUAUCAGGAUCCGCAGUGCAUAUAAAUACGUCAACUGGAGGUAGCUUCUCAUCUUUGGGCAAUCUUUCAGGG
This 267-nucleotide unclassified non-coding RNA is filed under the name Hevea brasiliensis (rubber tree). The record is from RNAcentral. Lineage: Eukaryota; Viridiplantae; Streptophyta; Magnoliopsida; Malpighiales; Euphorbiaceae.